CUGCGCUUAUUAACCUAGGAUAUGGCUUUCCUAGCGCUAGCUUAAGUAACUUUAUGCUCAAACGUGGACUAAGCCGCCGUUCCCGAGCUACGUGCCAAUUCCAAUUUCUUCUCCGUGGUUUUGUUUAGCAGGGAGGCAGACAAAGGCGGCAGCCGUGGGGCGCAGCGUGCGUGGCGCCCAGGCGAAGGGUGACGUUUCGGGUGCCAUGUUCGCCGCGGCGCGCGGCCGGCGGCCUCGGCGAGCCGCGUGGGGCCAGGGCCCGCAGCCGCGAGGAGGGACGGCAGCGCAGCAGCCAUUUUGCUUUGAUAAUCCCUGGUAACGAGACUGGUCUGUGGCUUGUGAAAUGCAGGCAGCUCUCGGCGCCCCGGCUUCCCUUUUCCUCGUGCUAACCGCUACGGAAACAGGUUCAACAUUACUAUUAAUGCUUAUGAAGUGCUAACAAACAUCCGCUUAAACAAAGAAGAAAGUAGUGUAAAGAGGGUUCACAGCUCGAAGCUGACCACUGCAAAGGCCACUUGUCACAUUUACUGAAAAUCAGCCUAUUGAUAUCACAGCUGAAAAUAUAAACUCGACAACCAAAGCCCAUUGCACAACGUGGACUGCGUAAGAGUUAAAAAUAGAUUCGACGUGCCUCCUACCUGCAUAAUAAAUAUUCCAUUAAAAUCCUGAGCAGUAUUGACAAACCACACAAGCACAGGGUCUGACUGCAUGAUCAGCUGUCUGUGUCUACGCUACACCCUGUUAACCACAAGCAGUGUUAGAGCUAAAUAUAUCUGCAAUGCAGAAAUGGUAGGUGCUAUGUGGUAUACAAUUCUAAUUAAUUAUAAAAUAUUUUUAUAUCCUAGAUAUAAUAAAUAAAAGAAAAUUUGGUGCUGAUCUUUUUAAGGCACCGAAUCCGUCUGACUUACAGAACAUAAAAGCUAACCCUAAGUAUACUGACCUACAUAGCACUAAGAAGACUUAAGCAGCAAACAAGCAUACUCACUGUCAAAGCAAGGAAAAAACGAAACAAUGAUUGCCUAAUCAAACUGAAAGCAACAGCUCACUACCACAGUAUGAGUUCCAAAAUGCUACGUACUGUAUAUGCACAUCUCAUGUUAGUGCGAGAUGCAAAGCUCCUUUGUUUUUUCUCAGAGGCUUUUCUUAGCUACGGUUGCACAAUGACAUUCUGACAUCAUGGAGGUCAAUGCAGCUACUAAAGUGCUGUCGUCUUUUUGAAUAAAAAAUCAUUUUGGAAUAUUAAAGCACAGCUGCAAAAAAAAAAAAAUAAUGAAUGUCACAUCACCUGCUUAACAUCUUUCCUUUACCUUCUGGGAUUAAUAGUAUGUACACUGUUCAGCUGCAUACAUUAAAUUGGUAUCACCCUCUGCAGAGAUUGCAGGAGCGUAACUGCGGGAAUUAGAUUUUUAUAAGUAAGUAGAUAGAAAUGUUAAAAAAAAUGAUUCAUUAUCCAGAAAACUUAAAAAUACAAUAAAACAUUCAACAUGUAUAAUGAAAAAUAUAAGGAGAAAAAAAGCAUUAAAAACUGCUUAUCUGAAUAUUUUUAAUGCCUAAUAAGCAAAACUGUUUUUAUUUUCAGUAUCAUUAUGUCUCCAAAGGGAGAAUGAGAGCACUGAAGCACAACUUACUAUGACCUGAAUUACAUCCCCAAAAGGCUAAACGAUCAGGUGAAGUAAAAUAAACCCAAAGGUCUAUCUGUUUAUAGAGAAUCCUUCCCACAGAUACACCUUCAAUGACAUCUUAUGCCUUCCUUUUAUCUUUCUACCCCAAUACCCACGACAGAUAUUCAACACAUAACCAGAAUGGUAAACAUUAACGUGCCAGCUCUGAAACUAUUUAACUGAAAAAUUUCCUUAAGCAAAUAUUGUUUGCCUUAUGCAUAAGCAAAUAUAAAUGUUUUCUGACCAGAUAUUGAAAUAGAUAUAGAUGCUUGUGAGGCAAGAUUUUUAUGGAGAAUACUAUGUUUCAUCAGACCUGCCAAUACAGCUGGAAAGAAAACAGCCAAAAUUUCAGACAUGCAUUCUUUCUCAGGAACCUGUG
Molecule: long non-coding RNA, 2040 nt
Organism: Rhea pennata
Lineage: Eukaryota; Metazoa; Chordata; Aves; Rheiformes; Rheidae
Exons: 4
Source: RefSeq, a predicted model, not a curated record